Zalophus californianus (California sea lion) is the source of this 1475-nucleotide long non-coding RNA. RefSeq lists it as uncharacterized. The transcript has 3 exons. The record is from RefSeq and is a predicted model, not a curated record. Lineage: Eukaryota; Metazoa; Chordata; Mammalia; Carnivora; Otariidae.
UGGAUGUACUUUAUUAAAAUGGUGUUUUGAACACAGAGAUAUAUGAUUUUAGUCUGUUCACAGUUACUCUAAUACAUACAUUUAAAACAAUGGUCAAAGCAGCAAUUACAUCAACUCACUAGGAAAAAGUACAAAGUACACCCAAGUAGCACUUUGGUUAAAUUGUAAAACAGUGUACACAGGAGAACUUCAGCAGAAAUUAAAUUAACUUGGGACAUAUUAAGCUGCUAAGUUUUGUACUGGAAUCCAAUGUACUAGAUGAGUCAUUCUUGGAGGGGGGAAGAACUCUAUUGUUUCACAGCCCAGAAUACUCAACUGACCAUCAGUGGACCAGCUGAGCCACCUAACAACCAGUGGGAGCUGCCCAAGUCCAUGGGUCUCAUUCCAGAUACCAAAAGCAACAGGGAAGUCAUCAGAAUUUGGCUUGCAAAGAAACGGCAUUUUAUUUCUGCUUAAGUCAUCCAGGUAGGUUCUACCUGUCUACAGGACAGCUGGGGAACACCACCGGCAUUAGAGCCAAUAAACACCAUGGUGUGAGAUACAGCCAACCUGGUUAUGGAUGAAACCAGAGCAUGCUAAUAUUCAGAGUCAUAAAAAUGAAACUACAAGAAGGUGAGGAGCCAGCUGGAAGGAAAAAAGUCCAAAGGAAUGAAGGAGAAGAGAAAAUGGGCCGAAUGAUCUACAAACAAGAAAACAAAUCCCUGAACAAAGAGAGUGGACUCUAAUGCUUUUCCAAAAAGUAUGAUGACAGUAAGGUUCUCAAAAAAGGGCAGGAAACAUCUUAUAAGAUGGCGAAUAGAGCCAUCCUAGUCAUCUUCUAUAAUCCUCAUCAGUAAACAUGCCCGUGAGAGAGGCCACUGUGGGUGCCAGGAAAAUCCCAGCCCUCACUCUGCAACUGGCCUUAUCAGUGAAAUGAGAAUUUCCAUCCCUAUGCUCUCAACUGAAAAUUGUGAAAUGUUAUUUCUGUGGUGCUUUGACUUCCUUUAAAUAAAAAGAUGAACCAAACACGGAUUAAUAUUGCAUGAUUCACUUUCAAAUCAGUUACGAGGUCUGUAUGCAUACAUUUAAAUGGUCACUGCAGAAGUUUUCAAGAUUACCUUUAGGAACAAAAGAUUUGGGGGUCAGCUAACUAGAAAACACCAACUACAUUUUUCUGAAUGCUUUUGAUAAAUUUAGUCAAAAUCAGAAACAUUUUACUUUCAAAAUUUAAGGACAUACAAUACGUAAAUUUUAAAAUUCAGCUGACAUGUCCUUGUGUUUAACAAAUAAAAACAAAAAUAUCACUAGUUACCACAAAGCUGCAAGACCAAAGUCUUUUAGAAGUGGGAGAAAACAUAUCUUCCUUCUGAAGAUUAAACAGAGUAGUGCAUGUUACCCAUUGUCUUUUUUUUUUUUUUAAGAUUUUAUUUAUUUAUUUGACAGAGACACAGUGAGAGAGGGAACACAAGCAGGGGGAAUGGGAGAGGGAGAAGCAG